UCUCCUCCCACAGCCUCUGCUCUGGCCUCUUGCCUCCAGAGUGCCAGUGGGGUAGGGAGAGGGAAGGAGAGGUUAUCUCCCAGAGCCCCUGCUCUGGGCUCCUGGGAAACCACUCCCAUC
Trichosurus vulpecula (common brushtail) is the source of this 120-nucleotide small nucleolar RNA. RefSeq annotates it as small nucleolar RNA SNORA17. The record is from RefSeq and is a predicted model, not a curated record. Lineage: Eukaryota; Metazoa; Chordata; Mammalia; Diprotodontia; Phalangeridae. The transcript has a single exon.